AUUUUUUUUUUUUUUGAGUCUUACUAUGUUUCCUGGUUUUGAACCCUAACAAUUUUUAACAUUUUAUUUUGAAAUAAUUUUAGAGGAGUAGAAAGAAUCCCUGUAUACUCUGCCUACAUUCCCCAAAUGUGAACAUUUUCAUAUUUGCUAAUUAUUUUUACCUAUAUGUACAGACAUACUUUGAACCAUAAGUUACAGACAUGAUGCCUCUUUAUUCCUUAACACUUCUGUGUUUUUCCUUAAACAUAAGGACAUUUUCUUAUAUAAUUACAGUACAUUUCUCAAAAUCAAGCAAUUAUCCCGAUAUAACACUAUUCUUUAGUCCCAAUAAUAUCCUCUAACACUGUUUUGUAAAACCUGGUAAGCAAAACAAACAGCCCCCUUCUCUAAUGGCAUCUGAAAUGGAACAACUGCAAUUCUCCAUUUUUAAUGGUUAGGUGAAGUAAAUCUUUGCCCUGGAAAUGUUUGCUUACAGCUUCCAGUCUGCUAAACAUUUUAUUUCCCUAUCAUUCUGAACAUAGACCCUAAGUCUUGUACGUCCAAGCAGCACAGAUACAUGGCUAGCAUUUUCUACGUUUAGAAAAGCAAAAUUUACCUUCAAAUCGUUCUGAAGGCGUUGCGUUGUCUGCUUGAGGUACCACUCCAUGUUCUUUUUUGAACUUAUCAAAUGCCUUUUUAUUUAUGUCAUCUUUUUGAUGAGGGUCUGAGAAAUGAAAAAAAUUUAAUACUUAACAGAUCAUCAUUUAAUCUUUCAUUAAAUUGCAUAAGUUAUUUUAAAAAUAGGUGUUUAAAGUAACAAAUGGACUUCUCAAAACUCACCAAGUUUUUGGAGACUCUUUGCUUUGCCAAUAACAUCUUUGGCAGUUCUUUUGACUCCAGAGGAAGAAUGUAUGUUCAUGUAAUUAGCAAUAACUUCCCAUCUGAUAGGAUAUAUUAUACAAUAAUAUGAAUAGUAGUAAGGAAAAACAAAAUGAAACGACAAAAACCAUUAGAUUUUUACUGCAGAAAGGUUAUAGUAUGUACAGAAUGAGCUCAGAUUGGUGGUCUAAUUAUGCUGCUACUAUAAAUUCCUGUUGCCUGGACUACGGUUUUUGCUUUUCAUGUGUUUAAAUCAACGAUAAUCUUGGUUUUAAGUCCAUACAUCUUACAGAUUUGGUGUACAAAUCAACAUAAAUAAAACCACUUAUUUGUGUA
Molecule: long non-coding RNA, 1194 nt
Filed under: Homo sapiens (human)
Lineage: Eukaryota; Metazoa; Chordata; Mammalia; Primates; Hominidae
Description: novel transcript, antisense to DNAJC2
Source: RNAcentral